RNAcentral lists this ribosomal RNA (406 nucleotides) under uncultured bacterium. Its description in RNAcentral is "partial 16S ribosomal RNA". It matches the Rfam family "Bacterial small subunit ribosomal RNA", at positions 30 to 526 of the family's 1533-position model. The record is from RNAcentral.
AUUGAACGCUGGCGGCAGGCCUAACACAUGCAAGUCGAACGCGUGGCGGACGGGUGAGUAAUGUCUGGGAAACUGCCCGAUGGAGGGGGAUAACUACUGGAAACGGUAGCUAAUACCGCAUACCAUCGGAUGUGCCCAGAUGGGUUUAGCUUGUAGGUGAGGUAACGGCUCACCUAGGCGACGAUCCCUAGCUGGUCUGCGAGGAUGAUCAGCCACACUGGAAGUGAGACACGGUCCAGACUCCUAAGGGAGACAGCAGUGGGGAAUAUUGCACAAUGGGCGCAAGCAUGAAUCAGCCAUGCCGCGUGUAUGAAGAGGGCCUUCGGGUUGUAAAGUACUUUCAGCGGGAAGGCGUUACCCGCAGAAGAAGCACCGGCUAACUCCGUGCCAGCAGCCGCGGUAAUAC